Molecule: ribosomal RNA, 255 nt
Filed under: Salmonella enterica
Lineage: Bacteria; Pseudomonadati; Pseudomonadota; Gammaproteobacteria; Enterobacterales; Enterobacteriaceae
Description: partial 23S ribosomal RNA
Rfam family: Bacterial large subunit ribosomal RNA
Source: RNAcentral
AACCGACACAGGUGGUCAGGUAGAGAAUACCAAGGCGCUUGAGAGAAAUCGGGUGAAGGAACUAGGCAAAAUGGUGCCGUAACUUCGGGAGAAGGCACGCUGACACGUAGGUGAAGUGAUUUACUCAUGGAGCUGAAGUCAGUCGAAGAUACCAGCUGGCUGCAACUGUUUAUUAAAAACACAGCACUGUGCAAACACGAAAGUGGACGUAUACGGUGUGACGCCUGCCCGGUGCCGGAAGGUUAAUUGAUGGGG